Molecule: ribosomal RNA, 459 nt
Filed under: uncultured bacterium
Lineage: Bacteria
Description: partial 16S ribosomal RNA
Rfam family: Bacterial small subunit ribosomal RNA
Source: RNAcentral
CCUACGGGUGGCAGCAGUGAGGAAUAUUGGUCAAUGGGCGGAAGUCUGAACCAGCCAAGUAGCGUGCGGGAUGAAGGCCCUACGGGUCGUCAACCUCUUUUGCACGGGGAUAACACCCUCCACUUGUGGCGUUCUGCAUGUACCUUGCGAAUAAGGGCCGGCUAAUUCCGUGCCAGCAGCCGCGGUAAUACGGAAGACCCGAGCGUUCUCCGGAUUUAUUGGGCUUAAAGGGAGCGUAGGCGGGCGUUAACGUCAGCUGUAAAAUCUCGCGGCUCAACCGCGCCCCGCAGUUGAAACUGGAAGGCUUGAGUUCACAAGAGGCAGGCGGAAUUCGUGGUGUAGCGGUGAAAUGCAUAGAUAUCACGAGGAACCCCGAUUGCGAAGGCAGCCUGCCGGGGUGCGACUGACGCUGAGGCUCGAAGGUGCGGGUAUCAAACAGGAUUAGAUACCCUAGUAGUC